CCCUUAGAUGUUCUGGGCCGCACGCGUGCUACACUGAGUGGAUCAGCGGGUCAGGUUGCGCGAAAGCGUUUCCUAAUCUUUAAAUCCGCUCGUGAUGGGGAUUGACGGUUGCAAUUUUCUGUCAUGAACGAGGAAUACCUUGUAAGCGCGGGUCAUCAUCCCGCGCUGAAUACGUCCCUGCCCUUUGUACACACCGCCCGUCGCUUCUACCGAUUGAGUGGUCCGGUGAGGCUUUGGGAUCUGAGCGGAAAGAGCGUUUCGCUGUUUCUGCUCGGAAAACUCAGUCGAACCUUAUCAUUUAGAGGAAGGAGAAGUCGUAACA
RNAcentral lists this ribosomal RNA (322 nucleotides) under uncultured eukaryote. RNAcentral describes it as "partial 18S ribosomal RNA". It matches the Rfam family "Eukaryotic small subunit ribosomal RNA", at positions 1470 to 1796 of the family's 1831-position model. The record is from RNAcentral.